CUCUCCGAGGAGCGUUGCAGCGGCCCCCACACAUCAGGCGUGGUCGCGAGGCUCGGAGUCAUACCUGCAACGACGCUCGCCCACG
RNAcentral lists this non-coding RNA (85 nucleotides) under Delftia acidovorans. RNAcentral's name for it is "SAH sequence". It matches the Rfam family "SAH (S-adenosyl-L-homocysteine) riboswitch aptamer". Lineage: Bacteria; Pseudomonadati; Pseudomonadota; Betaproteobacteria; Burkholderiales; Comamonadaceae. RNAcentral also lists the same sequence under 1 other name. The record is from RNAcentral.